GUCAGCACCACCCUUACAAGAGGAGGUUGGAGGACCUGUUAGAAACCACGUGGUACUUGUAAGAUCUUAUAACUUGCCAUUGUUCUGCAUCAGCCUAACAGAACACCACUUCUCUCCAGGUUCAGGAGAGAAACCAUCACUGCACACGAUGCUUUUCCUCCCAGCUGCUGCUCUGUGCUGUCUGUGUUCAGUGAUUACUGUGGCUGAAGAGCUGAUACAGAAUGAUUUAACUCUGACCAGGAGAGCUGGAGAAAGUGUCUCCUUCAGCUGUGGGGGAACUGACCAGUGCAGCAGUACUGUUGUAUACUGGUACCAGAAGAAAGACACAAGAGAAUUAUUCAGAAUGCUUCUUUCUAUUGACAUAAGCAGCGGUGCAAUAAAUUGAGGCUAUAACCACCCUCAGCAAAAUGAUUUCUCAGCAGUGAAUAAUCAGGGCAGCUGGGCUUUGGAGCUAAAAACAGUUAAAGACGUUCAUUCAGCCAUCUACUACUGCUCUUGUUACAAAAGUACUCACAGUGUGAAAUCAUCCCUGCAGGCUGAACAAAAACCAUCAGAGGAAAAGCAAGAAACCACAGCUCCAUCUCAGUCUGAGAGACAACAGUUAGAGAAAUUUUCAGUACUUUAAAUCAUAAAUCGAAAUGUUCAUACCGUCAAAGGGUAAAAUUAAUACUUGUAAUUAAAGUUGACAGCUAACUGGGAGUACUGGGAGUACACAAUAAAGGUGGAUAAGAAAGAAAAAAUGUCACAGACCAGUUGUAUGGGAGGUUUUUCCUCCUGAACGUUAAAAGUUGAUAUGUAUCAUAUCAUGGAUUUGUAUGUUGAUGAUACUAUUGUUUCCACACAUGGUCAAAAAUAUUUCAGACUACAUCAAGUCCAUUUAUGUUCCUCAGUCUGUGUCUGUGGGAACAAAUAUUUUUAGUUUUGAAGUCAUCAUAGUUUUAAGACAUUUUGUUGACUGACUUCAUAGAAAGUGAAGAAAAGAUACGACUGAAAUAAUAAAUAAAUUCCACUCUAUAUUUGAAGGUUAAUGUUUUGCAAACCUCAGUCUCAGUGGAAAACUGCAACACACGCCUCAGCUGUCACUCAGCAGCAGCACUGACAGCUGCAGCAGUUAAUGGGAGGUUUUAGGAGUUGUUAGAAACAUGUGGUCCUCGUCUGAUCAUAUAAACUGUCCUUGUUUGGCCUCGUUUCUAUCAAAGAAUCACUUCUCCUCAGAUUCACCAGAGGAAACGUCACUGAACACAACGGUUCACACAAUGCUUUUCCUCCCAGCUGCUGCUCUGUGUUGUCUGUGUUUAGCGCUGGUUACCAUGGCUGCAGAGCUGAUGCAGAAAGAUUUAACUUUGACUGCGACACCUGGCAAAAAAGUCUCCUUCAGCUGUGGAACUGCCCAGUGCAGUGGCAGCUAUGUGCACUGGUACCAGAAGAAAGACAAUGAUAAGUUCAGAGUGAUUCUUCAUAUUAACAUACGCACUGGUGAAGUCAACAGUGACUACAACCAUGCUCAGAAAAAAGAUUUCUCAGCUGUGAAAAACGAGAACAGCUGUGAGUUGGAGAUAAAUGCAGUUAGCCUCGUUCAUUCAGCCAUCUACUACUGCUGCUGUGCUCAAAGCUCUCACAGUGACAUAAAGAUCCCUGCAGACUGAACAAAAACCAUCAAAGGAACAGCAGCAGACCACAGACCAGGUUCACACACACACUGACGCAGGCAUCACCUUUAAAACCAUAACAACUAGUUUGUAUUCUAUUUAUAUAAGAAGUAAAAAUAAUCAAGACCAAAAUAAAUUCAAUAAGAGCCAAAAGAUGACAAAAUUGGGAGUAUCAGAUUAAAGUGCCAUGUGUUCACAUUCAGGUCAAAAACAGCAGACUGUAAAAAUCCACAAAUAUUAGCUUCUUCUGACAAACAUCAAACAGAAGUGUCUAUAUUUUGUUGGGAAGCAAUAUUCCUCUACAAGAACAGCUGGUGAUCAGCAACUGAGGGAAAACUAAACACCACAAACAGUGAUCACAGCUCCAGAAACCACAAAGCAUCUGGUUUUGAAAAAAAAGAAGAAGAAAUGAAUGAAAAACAACAGUUUGAAUCCAGGAUUCUCAAAGUAUAGCCAACUGGCCAAACACACCCUUUAGUAACAUUAUAGUUGUGACUGUCAUCCUCACGAAUGUCAACCAACGCUAAAAGUUACAUCACAUCCGCGAGUUCAAGCUGUGCUUUGGUGUCUUUUUGGUGGCUUUGAUUGUCCAACUCUUAUUUCUGUAACCUUGCACAUCUGCACAGAGCAUACAGGUUGGUUUCUUUUCCUUUACAGUCAUUGCUGUCAUGUGCUGGUUCUCUACAUUUCCAUGAGGACUCAUCAUAAUAAUUAUGCUUAGAUUUGCAGGCAGUUAAACUACAAAACAUGCAGCAAGUUUCUAUUUUGUCUGUGGAGUUAAUUUUUUGUGUGUCUGCUGAUUUUUAUAAUCUUGAACAAACAGAAGAAACCAUUUAGCUGGACAGAUAUUUGUUCUUAGAAACCAGAGGACGACCAAAGUGCAUACUGAUAUUGUAACACUUGUUGGCUGUUACUAGGUCCCAAAACACACUCAGAUGCGUUAGCCGGUGCAGUUAAAUUGAAUUAUUUGCACAGUUUUAUCUUUGCAGACCGUUCAUUGAUUCCAGACAAUCGCUGUCAGCUGUGUCCACCAGGCUCUCCUGACACUGUCCCUGAACCCACUGCAACACCCCUCCUGUGCAGCUGAGCCACAGACUACACCCUGCCACAGCAAAUGAAUCCUGUUACAGUGCUACUCCAUCAAAACAUUGUUGAGAAGUUUAAUUCUGGAGGAAAACUGCCAACCUGCUGUUUGGACAAGAAGAAACUUGUGAAACAAAGGUCAGCUCAGGUAGCUCAUCAUCUGGAGGCAGAAGUUAUGCAGAAUAUUCAGCUUCAUGCAGUUUUUACAACAUUAAUUCAUCUCAACUAAAGCAGAAAGAGGAGGUUGAUGUGUGAACAUCAAAGAACCAAAUCAUGGAGCUGAAAUAGACUAAUCAGACCUUACAAUAUGACCACGACAGGUGACAAGAUUAUCUCUUUUUCACAGCACCUGUUAGUGGGUAGGAUGUAUUAAGGAGCAAGUAAUCAUUUUCUCCUCAAAGUUGGUGUGUUAGAAACAGAAAAACUGGCAAGUGUAAGGAUUUGAGCAGGUUUGACAAAAUAUUGAUGGCUACACGACUCGGUCUAGACAACCCGGCUUCUGCAAAAAUGCAGCGUUUGUGGGGUGUUGCUGCGGUGGUCACUAUGCAUUAAAAGUGGUCCAAAGAAGAAACAGUGACCAGUAACUGAGCAUCUGUGGGAUCUACAGGACAAACAAGUGUGAUCCAUGGAGGUCCUUCCUCACAACUUACAGGACUUCAAGGAUCUGUUGCUAACAUCUCAGUGCCAGAUAUCACAGCACAUCUUCAGGGGUCGAGUGGAAUCCAUGCCUCAGGACUGUUUUGGCAGCAAAAGAGGGACCAACACAAAAUCAGGCAGAGUCAUAAUGUUACAUCUGAUCGGUGUAUGACACUGCUUUACUUCAGCUGCCACAUUCACCAUCAGACAGGUUUUUGUACUGGUCUGUGUCACUGUGUGAGGGGACAGGAUCUUUGGCUCUGGAGUUAAACUGUACGUAACAGAUAUGCCGGUACUGAAGCCCUCGGUGACAGUGUACCAAGCAGCAUCCAGUGAUCAUCUGGAGGAGAAGAGAUCCCUGCUGUGUGUGGCCUCACAAAUGGUUCCUCCUGUGGUCCAGA
Molecule: RNA transcript, 3769 nt
Organism: Oreochromis niloticus (Nile tilapia)
Lineage: Eukaryota; Metazoa; Chordata; Actinopteri; Cichliformes; Cichlidae
Gene name: immunoglobulin lambda-1 light chain
Exons: 4
Source: RefSeq, a predicted model, not a curated record